This 366-nucleotide long non-coding RNA is filed under the name Coffea arabica (coffee). Its description in RNAcentral is "long non-coding RNA (CARA_LNC006731)". Lineage: Eukaryota; Viridiplantae; Streptophyta; Magnoliopsida; Gentianales; Rubiaceae. The record is from RNAcentral.
CGACACCGUUCAUAGGCCGCAGCGUUCCGCCGGCGAGGACUGUUUCCACCGCCGCUUCACACACUGGCCAGUUCCCAGUCGACAAUAGCCCUACCGCUCCGCUCACCGGAUUCACCGUACGACCACAUGCUUCAUAUAACAGCGACUGAAAUAAAGCUAAAAGAUAAAACAAAUUAAAAUUUCUAUUUUUUUUUCCUUAAAAAAAUUAAGCAAAAUUCCAAACGAUGCAUUUCUCAUUUGCUAUUGAUCUUCAGUUACCAGGUUUUUUGGAGUCGGGGACGGCGGUGAUGAAGGACAUGAGAUCACUGCGGCGAAGAACUUGGAGACGAAAAGAGUGGCGUUGGCUUGAGCUUGGGAGUGGGGAUC